CAUCCAUGUCUUGUAAUUGGAAUGAGUGGGAUUUAAAUCCCCCUACGAGUAUCAAUUGGAGGGCAAGUCUGGUGCCAGCAGCCGCGGUAAUUCCAGCUCCAAUAGCGUAUAUUAAAGUUGUUGCAGUUAAAAAGCUCGUAGUUGAAUUUCUGGCAAGAGCAACCGGUCCUUCACUUGGUGUUGGUACUUGUGUUGUCUCUGGCCAUCCUUGGGGAGAGCCUGUGUGGCAUUAAGUUGUCGGGCAGGGGAUUCCCAUCGUUUACUGUGAAGAAAUUAGAGUGUUCAAAGCAGGCUUAUGCCGCUGAAUACAUUAGCAUGGAAUAAUAAGAUAGGACUUCGGAACUAUUUUGUUGGUUUGCGUUACGAAGUAAUGAUUAAUAGGGACGGUUGGGGGUAUUCGUAUUUCAUUGUCAGAGGUGAAAUUCUUGGAUUUCUGAAAGACGAACUACUGCGAAAGCAUUUACCAAGGAUGUUUUCAUUAAUCAAGAACGAAAGUUAGGGGAUCGAAGAUGAUUAGAUACCAUCGUAGUCUUAACCAUAAACUAUGCCGACUCGGGAUC
Molecule: ribosomal RNA, 560 nt
Filed under: uncultured diatom
Lineage: Eukaryota; Bacillariophyta
Description: bacterial SSU rRNA
Rfam family: Eukaryotic small subunit ribosomal RNA
Source: RNAcentral